GCGGGGAUGCCGGAGCGGUCAAACGGGCCGCGUUAAGGCCGCGGUGGCUUAGUGCCUGCGAAGGUUCGAAUCCUUCUCCCCGCA
Molecule: transfer RNA, 84 nt
Filed under: Candidatus Pacearchaeota archaeon CG1_02_39_14
Lineage: Archaea; Nanobdellati
Also listed under: 2 other names
Description: tRNA-Leu
Rfam family: tRNA
About the family: Transfer RNA (tRNA) molecules are approximately 80 nucleotides in length. Their secondary structure includes four short double-helical elements and three loops (D, anti-codon, and T loops).
Source: RNAcentral